RNAcentral lists this long non-coding RNA (460 nucleotides) under Homo sapiens (human). RNAcentral describes it as "non-protein coding lnc-PRKAA2-9:1". Lineage: Eukaryota; Metazoa; Chordata; Mammalia; Primates; Hominidae. The record is from RNAcentral.
AUGACAAACACAAAGGGAAAGAGGAGAGGCACCCGAUAGAUGUUCUCUAGGCCUGUUAGAAAACAUGGAGUUGUUUAUUUGGCCACGUAUAUGAGAAUCUAUGAGAAAGGUGAUGCUGUAGACAUCUAAGGGAAUGGGUACUGCUCUAAAAAGAAUGCCCCACAAGUGUUACCAUGGCUAAACUGGAAGAGUCUGCAGUGUUCCCCAGCAUGCCGUUGGUACUGUUGUAAACAAAAAAGUUAAGGGGAAGAUUCUUGCCAAGAGAAUUAAUGUGCAUAUUGAGCACAUUAAGCACUCCAAGAGCUGAGAUAACUUCCUAAAAAACAUGAAGGAAAAUGAUCAGAAAAAGAAAGCCAAAGAGUUCAACUGAAGUGCCAGCCUGCUCUACCAAGAGAAGUGCAACUUUGUGAGAACCAAGGGGAAGGAGCCUGCUGCUGGAACGUAUGAACUCAUGGCAUAG